This 795-nucleotide long non-coding RNA is filed under the name Gopherus agassizii (Agassiz's desert tortoise). RNAcentral describes it as "lncRNA (ENSGAGG00000015639.1)". Lineage: Eukaryota; Metazoa; Chordata; Testudines; Testudinidae. The record is from RNAcentral.
CUUGGCGGAGACCCUCCCCUAUUCCACCUCCCUCCCCAACACAUACAGCUCUGGCUGAGGGGGCACUUCCUCCCCCCAGCAUCCCUGACUCAAACCGCCACCCAAAAGCAAUAGGGAGAAAGGGUUAAAAGUUGCACAACGCAUCCGGGAGUCACCGAGCAGCAGCAGCAGCCUGGGCUCUGCAUCCCGAGCCCCGGGCUGCAGCAGAGGCGCUGGGGUGAGCGCUACAGUCGGGUGCCCGUCACCCACCCCGAGCCCGGCGGGCCCCUCACCUUGCGCGUUGUGCUGGUUGUUCUCCAUGAUCGAGGGGGUCGCCGAGCUGCUGCCCAGCUCGGCCAGUCUCCGGUUGGUGGCUGUCAGCUCGGCUCGCAGGGCAGAAAUCAAAACAGAAGCAGGCAUCAAAACAGCACGUCCACUAUCUGGGAGGGAAAAGGACAUAACCCCCAAGCCCUUCAAUAUAUAGGUUUGGUUUUGAAUAAAGAAAGAGCCUCUGAAGUGUAAGAUCCCCCAUCAUCCUAAUAAUUAAGGCCACCAUGACAUUAAAGACAAGCAAGGAAAUUGAUGCAAAUCACAGAUUGUAAUCUGAAUCCAAAUCCUGCAGCUUUAAAGAAAGAAAGAAAAAAGAGAAGCUCUUCAGCAACCACCAAAAAUCUUAUGCAAAUCCACCUCAGAUGAUUUGUUCUUGUAAAGAUGUGAAACCCGACUGAAUUUUGAAAGUUACAGUAGCAGGUUGGUGGAAUAGACUUUCACAUCCAGGCAGUUCACUAGGGAAAGCCUAAAGGAGAUGAACCAGAG